GACGAACGCUGGCGGCGUGCCUAAUACAUGCAAGUCGAACGCAUUUUCUUUCACCGUAGCUUGCUACACCGAAAGAAAAUGAGUGGCGAACGGGUGAGUAACACGUGGGUAACCUGCCCAUCAGCGGGGGAUAACACUUGGAAACAGGUGCUAAUACCGCAUAAUUCCAUUUACCGCAUGGUAGAUGGAUGAAAGGCGCUUUUGCGUCACUGAUGGAUGGACCCGCGGUGCAUUAGCUAGUUGGUGGGGUAACGGCCUACCAAGGCUGCGAUGCAUAGCCGACCUGAGAGGGUGAUCGGCCACACUGGGACUGAGACACGGCCCAGACUCCUACGGGAGGCAGCAGUAGGGAAUCUUCGGCAAUGGACGCAAGUCUGACCGAGCAACGCCGCGGGAGUGAAGAAGGGUGUCGGAUCGUAAAACUCUGUUGUUAGAGAAGAACAAGGAUGAGAGUGGAAAGUUCAUCCCUUGACGGUAGCUAACCAGAAAGCCACGGCUAACUACGUG
Molecule: ribosomal RNA, 507 nt
Filed under: uncultured bacterium
Lineage: Bacteria
Description: partial 16S ribosomal RNA
Rfam family: Bacterial small subunit ribosomal RNA
Source: RNAcentral